CUGGAAUUGAAAAUGUUAAUUCAUUUCCCCACGUAGCCCAUUGGGCAACAUCUUGCAAAAUUGAGAAUAUUUUCUCCAUGGCUUCAUCAAACAGAAUUUUCUUUUGUAAAGUGGCUUGACCCUCACAGCUAUGGCACAGAUAGCAGGGUCAUCAAAAGCUGCUCCAUUCUUCUGGAAGCUACAGAGAAAGGGAACCUGGAAACCUGGUAUGCUGGCAAAAAGGGGUCAUGGGUGGCAAAAUAAAAACAGAGAAGAUGUGGACCAUGUCAUCAUUUAAUGAAGGAAAGAACUGAAAAUUGUAUUUGAGAACAAAGACACUAAACUUACCACCAUGCCAAAAGUAGAAGAGAUAUGAGAAACUAAAUGAUCCCCACUUAGUAGGAAGCAUAAUAUUGCAUCAGAAAUAAAAUGGGAAUAAUUAUAGCACCUGCUUUAUUUGCAUUUUGUGACCAAUAAAUGAAAGAGUGUAUCUGCAAAGUUUUUACUUCAAGAACUCAAGGUACCAUGUAGUAAGAG
Molecule: long non-coding RNA, 516 nt
Filed under: Homo sapiens (human)
Lineage: Eukaryota; Metazoa; Chordata; Mammalia; Primates; Hominidae
Description: HSALNT0361127
Source: RNAcentral